This 931-nucleotide long non-coding RNA is filed under the name Homo sapiens (human). Its description in RNAcentral is "HSALNT0081118". The record is from RNAcentral. Lineage: Eukaryota; Metazoa; Chordata; Mammalia; Primates; Hominidae.
GGCAUAGGGGCUCAAGGGCCCCGUUACAGUAUUUUGGGGAGUUUACCCUCUAGAGGAUUCCACUGGUUACUUCAGGUACACCUUAUGUAAAUGGAGAGGGUGAAGUAAAGUUACAAAGUUAUUUACUUGGCCUGUGCCCUGCAGAGAGGAUAUUUCCUGUCAUAGCUGAAGUGUGAAUUGGCCUUAUAUUCCCUGCAUCCAGACCCUGUUUUCCUGCCUCACCACCAGGCCCCUCCUCCAACAGUGGGGAUUAUAAUUCGGCAUGAGAUUUGGGUGAAGACAAAGAGCCAAACAGUAUCAUAUGAUAUUGACAAUCUGUCUCUCUCUCUCUUUUUUUUUUUUUUUUUUGAGACAGGGAAUCACUCUCUGUCACCCAGUCUUGAGUGCAAUGGUAUGAUCACAGCUCACUGCAGCUUCGAGCUGCCGGACUCAAGCAAUCCUCCCAUCUCAGCCUCCUGAGCAGCAAGACUACAGGCAUGCACCACCACACCUGGCUAAAUAUUUAAUUUUUUAUAGAGACAAGACCUUGCUCUGUUGCCCAGGAUGGUCUCAAACUCCUAAGCUUAAGUGAUCCUACUGCCUUGGACUCCGAAGUACUAGGAUUACAGGGCAGUUUCAGGAGCUGAUACAGUACAAACACGGCCUCUAUUCUUCCAAGAUCUUGACGGGGAAAAUGAAUGCAACACUUAGUUGCUUUUGUACCAGGAGGGAACUUUGAGACCUGAUUGGAGCCUGGACUUUCUGGGACUCCUGGAGAGACGCAGGACCUCAGAGCUUCGUAGAUGUAUACAGAGAUGUGUAAGAGAAAAUUCACCACAAUUUUAAUGUUACCUUAAGCAACCUUUAAAGGGUGGUUCCAAGAUGGCCGAAUAGGAACAGCUCCAGUUUACAGCUCCCAGUGUGAGCAACACAGAAGACAGGUGAUUUCUGC